UACAGAGGGCAGCCACCCAGCAAUGGGAUGCGAAUCUCGAAAGCCUGUCUCAGUUCGGAUUGGAGGCUGAAACCCGCCUCCAUGAAGUUGGAUUCGCUAGUAAUCGCGCAUCAGCCAUGGCGCGGUGAAUACGUUCCCGGGCCUUGUACACACCGCCCGUCAAGCCAUGGGAGCCGGGGGUGCCUGAAGUUCGUGACCGCAAGGAGCGACCUAGGGCAAAACUGGUGACUGGGGCUAAGUCGUAACAAGGUAUC
Molecule: ribosomal RNA, 254 nt
Filed under: uncultured bacterium
Lineage: Bacteria
Description: partial 16S ribosomal RNA
Rfam family: Bacterial small subunit ribosomal RNA
Source: RNAcentral